UUGGACCCAAAGUCGUACAACUCUGUAGAAACCCUCCAUACUUUUGUCACAAUGUCAAUAACUAUCACACUAUUAUAUUUUCCCCCAUAAUUUUCAUUAACUAUGUAUUUUUUUAUUUUUUUUGAAGCAAUAUAUGCUUUUGUUUUGUCUUCAGAAAAUUAAUCAGAAAACGUCGCUAUUUUGUAAAGACCAAAUUAAGGAAGACAAACAAAAAAGAGAAAGUUGUCAAAGAAAAAAAAAAAAAAAAAAAGGACCACAAGUUUAGUCUUUUGGCUACGAGUCUAGUCUUUUCCUACGGACCAAUCACCAAACAAACGGCUUAUAGCUUUAGCCACCACAGUCACAGUCACAGUCACGGACUCGCUCCAGCUCUCUCUCUC
This 380-nucleotide long non-coding RNA is filed under the name Capsella rubella. RNAcentral describes it as "long non-coding RNA (CRUB_LNC001189)". Lineage: Eukaryota; Viridiplantae; Streptophyta; Magnoliopsida; Brassicales; Brassicaceae. The record is from RNAcentral.